ACCUUAUCAAGUAGAAACAGGCUCUCAGCGUAAUAAGCAGGGUAUAGAGUCCAUAAACCCCCCUCUGCAAUUGGAAGUUGUACAAGGAUUGUGUCUCCAGGUCUAAGGGAUAAACUAAUUGCCCCUGAACAAUUAUCAGCAGUGACCCUCUUCUGUUUCUGAUCAUGACGUCGCCUACGCUGUAAAAGAAUUGUGGAUUGAUGCCUAAUUCAUCUAUUGGAAAAUCAUAGAUGUUGCUCCAAGAUUGCACUCUAUCAAACUUUGUCAACUCCCAAAUUUGACAAGAGGAUGGCCUCCCAUUCAUCUGAGGGGAGUGGCAGACGGUAAGAAGAGGGUUCACAGGGCGGUGGCUACCACCUUCGACAAGACGUAAUCAGAGGAGGAACGAGCCAAACACUCGGGAAGCAUUACCUCGUCAAACUGCUCUUACU
RNAcentral lists this long non-coding RNA (431 nucleotides) under Glycine max (soybean). RNAcentral describes it as "long non-coding RNA (GMAX_LNC001721)". The record is from RNAcentral. Lineage: Eukaryota; Viridiplantae; Streptophyta; Magnoliopsida; Fabales; Fabaceae.